AAAGGCCCUUCGGGGUACUCGAGUGGCGAACGGGUGAGUAACACGUGGGUGAUCUGCCCUGCACUUUGGGAUAAGCCUGGGAAACUGGGUCUAAUACCGAAUAGGACUACGCGAUGCAUGUCGUGUGGUGGAAAGCUUUUGCGGUGUGGGAUGGGCCCGCGGCCUAUCAGCUUGUUGGUGAGGUUACGGCUCACCAAGGCGACGACGGGUAGCCGGCCUGAGAGGGUGACCGGCCACACUGGGACUGAGAUACGGCCCAGACUCCUACGGGAGGCAGCAGUGGGGAAUAUUGCACAAUGGGCGCAAGCCUGAUGCAGCGACGCCGCGUGAGGGAUGACGGCCUUCGGGUUGUAAACCUCUUUCGCCAGGGACGAAGCGCAAGUGACGGUACCUGGAGAAGAAGGACCGGCCAACUACGUGCCAGC
Molecule: ribosomal RNA, 425 nt
Filed under: Mycobacterium sp. Ri495
Lineage: Bacteria; Bacillati; Actinomycetota; Actinomycetes; Mycobacteriales; Mycobacteriaceae
Description: bacterial SSU rRNA
Rfam family: Bacterial small subunit ribosomal RNA
Source: RNAcentral